AUGCAUGUCUAAGUACACGCCUUUACACGGCGAAACUGCGAAUGGCUCAUUAAAUCAGUUAUGGUUCCUUAGAUCGUACAAUCCUACUUGGAUAACUGUGGCAAUUCUAGAGCUAAUACAUGCAACACAGCUCCGACCCUUGCGGGGAAGAGCGCUUUUGUUAGCCCAAAACCAACGCGGCGGUCGUUCACGCGGCCGUCGGUCAGUGUGGUGACUCUGAACAACUUUGUGCCGAUCGCACGGCCUUUGCGCCGGCGACAUAUCUUUCAAGUGUCUGCCCUAUCAACUUUCGAUGGUACGUGCUAUGCCUACCAUGGUGAUAACGGGUAACGGGGAAUCA
RNAcentral lists this ribosomal RNA (340 nucleotides) under Lyrodus pedicellatus. Its description in RNAcentral is "SSU rRNA". It matches the Rfam family "Eukaryotic small subunit ribosomal RNA", at positions 51 to 372 of the family's 1831-position model. Lineage: Eukaryota; Metazoa; Mollusca; Bivalvia; Myida; Teredinidae. The record is from RNAcentral.